ACGUCAUUAUAGCCAAGCACUCGUUUCGGGUCUUGAAAUGGAUGUUCGACAAUGUCCUAACUAUCAUACUUGUAGGAUAGAACUGAGCGAAGGAGAAGAAAACAAGAAAGUAUAUGCAUAGAACCAGCCUACAUAAUUUUUCUAAAAAUCUAAUGGGAAACUACUGCCAGAGAGGUAAGGUAAGCAGGGUUUAAACUGUAGUAAUGGCCCGUCAACCUAACCCUCUUAGGCAACAUAGGAAACAGACUUAGGAACGGUUUAAAACCUGCAAAAAUAACCUAAAACUGGAGCCUCGAUAUAAUAAAGUAAAGAGGAGGGAACUGACAGUGAGAGGAAAAGUAUAUGAUGAAAUAUUAAAACACAAAUAUAGAUUGGACAAAACUAGAAGAAAAUAUUUAAAAUAAACUAUAUUUUUCUAGAAUAGGAAAAAGUUCAGUGAACUGGUUGUCCGAAAUAAUAGCUGAUCAUAGAUGUCUAGCCUGAAGUUUCAAUGUAAAUAAUGUCAAUGUAUUCAAACACGUGUAGGUGUUUAGUAUAUUUACUAUUGGCCUCUAAGUUGACAAGGAAAGGAGAUAGGUUUUUUUUUGUGGACACAAACAGUGGAAUAUUGGUGACUGAAAAGUAAAUUAUCGCGACCGAUUUUACUUUUUAUUUUUUUAGUUUUCGUUUAUAUAUUCUAAGAAUUCGGUUUUGAAACAUCAUUUUCGACCUCAGUUUUAAUAUAUUAUCCUUGUCUUCAGUUUGUUGUGUUUUAACACUUCCUCUGAUUCUAUAAACUAAACAAUACUGAGUAGGUGGAAAGGAAAACAUUGAGAAUGUAAACUGUUCAUACGCAGUGGUGGGAAUUGUUACUUUGGAAUCCAGAACUACAACGACGGCGAUAACUCCACCACUACUACUAUCAGUUGAGUAACAACAAUAAUAGAUCGAGACGACGGCAAGACGAACUACUAACCAAGCACUAGAAUCAUUUUAAUACUGUAUUUCAUCGUUCUAGAUGUUAUACCUUUCGUUUAGAACGCUGAACGGGAAUACGUAAAGUGGAAACGAAAUGAGACUAUUUCACUUAAUUCAAGUCCAUGUGUAAUGUGUAUGUGUACAUAAAAACACACAAUCCAGUCUACAGAGGAACACAAACAAGCACUGACAUAUUCCUGGCGUUUAUCAAUUACCAUAUUUAGGUUUAAGAACGACAAAACAUCCUCCAAAAUUACUUAUACAACUAAAAUCACUCAGAAAAAUGGGGGACGAGGACAACGAACUGGACGGGAAAUUACUACAACAGUUCAGCUCUAUGGGGACGACUGAUAAAGAGGUGCUUAUUGCCGAAUUCCAGAAACUACUGGGUGACCAGUUAAAUGCUGCAGGCUGUGCUUUCUUCCUUGAUAUGAACAAUUGGAAUUUGCAAGCUGCAAUUUGUUCAUAUUAUGAUUUUGAACAACCUAGUAUUCGCCUACCGUCCAUGUCUUUUGUCAAAGAUGUCACUGUUGGAGAAGGAGAGUCAGUUCCACCAAAUACUAAAUUCACUAAAACUUGGCGAUUGCAAAAUUCAGGAGAUGAUAGCUGGCCACCAGGCUGCUGCUUGAAGUUUUGUUAUGGAGACCAGAUGACUCAUAUAGACAGAGUUAUGUCAGUAAGUCUUAGUCCUGGUCAAGUGACUGAUAUAAGUAUAGAUAUGGUCAGUCCUUCUAAAACAGGCAUCUACCAAGGACAGUGGCGAAUGAUAACACCAUCAGGUUGUUAUUUUGGAGAAGUAAUUUGGGUUAUAAUUAAUGUAGAUGAAGCUGGGUUAUUAGCAGUUACUCAACAGAUGUCACGAUUUGAGUUUGGCAGGCCAUCAGCACAGAACCCUUCAAAUCCAUUUGAUGUCAAUUCCUCCAAAAUCAACCACUCGGAUUCUUCUGAACUAACUGGUGCUGUAGACACCAUACAUUCCCAGGGCGUAAACCAUUAUAACAACUCUGACCAAGUUGUAUUACAUCCAACUUCUAAUCAGAACCUCCCUCUUCAUUCAUUUAUAACUCCUGAGUCAUCACCUAAAUCCAGCAAUGUUGAAGAAGAAAACCAAGAGAUGAUGAUAUCCUAGCAGUACUACAUAGCUAUCAGUUGAAAUAACUGGUGGUAUCUAAAAACUGGAGUGAACUUAAUCUAAUGACUAACAAUGAGCUACAUAUGUAGAUAUGUACAUAUGUUCAUGCAUAACUUAUAGAAUAUCGUUUGAAUCUAAAAAUGGAUGACAUGUUGAUAAACAUCUAUCCAAUAAAUUAAAAAAAAAUAUAUUAACAUGCAGAAAAAAAUAGAGACAAAGAAAAGAGAACAUUUGAUUUCUUUACAGAAGAAAGCUUAAAAGGCAAAAUUUUGAAAUCAUUUUGGGUAGAAAGAGAUCAGGGUAUUAUGGGAUUUCAUUAGAAUAAUGAAUUCAGUCUUAAAUUUUUUAACAAAUCCUUUAAAAAAUAAAGGUAUGUUAAACAUCAAACUUACAAACGAGAGUAAAACUUUUUUCUUUGAUGUUGUUAAAACUUUUUACACACCACUUAAACAAAAGUCAGAUACAGGUAUAAGUAUUUUAAUAGCAAAUUGCUACCAAAUUUGGUUAAUUCUUUAUAGAUGGAGGUUUUCACUGAAUUCUUUUAAAUUUAUUGAUGCUGUCUUUGUUUAUGUAAACUUAGAUAUUUAUUAUUUAAAGAGUUCUUUUCAAAAGCAUUACAUUAUUUAACUUCUUGGGCAAUGGAGUUUGUGCAAUGAGCCUGAUUACAUUCUUUAGGAUGUGAUAUUUAACUGAUUGUUUUAUAUUUCUUCUUAGUUCAAUCCCAUAAGAAAUAAAUUUACCUUUGAUCUCAUACAUAUUGAUAAAAUAUAUAGCAGUAAUUAUACUGGGGUUCAGUGGCAAGACCAUUUUUUUUCUGUAGAGCUUUCUCUUAAAUUUAAGAUGGAAGCUUUAAAUCUUCCAUGUUUCUUUCAAAAUAAUUGGUUGUUUAUAACCAAGAAGAUCUUUUUAUUUUAAAAACACCCGGUUCUUGUUUUUGAUACAUUCUAUACAUUUAUUUACAACUUCACAUUAAGAAGGACUAGAACAAAAAUCCAUAAUAACAAUAAUGCUAUACUAUCUUCAUUCAAUAUAAUGUUGCUUAUCAUUAUUUAUUAAGAAAGGGAUAUAUGUGCUGCUACUGUUGUGUUCCUUUAAGGAUGCAGUUUGGAAGGGAUGUUGAGUACUAAUGGAAAUGCAACUUUGUAAUGGUUUCAAAUUUAUAAAUAAAUGCAGUUGUUGUCUCACUCAGUGCUAUUGCUGACACUGCCCUCAGCUUAACUUUACUUCUUGGUCUAUUGUAGAUGGUAAGAUAUAAAUUUGUUGUAGAGACAAGAGCCUUAAGGUGAAUACUCUGUAGUUUUUUUUUUUUCUUCUUGUUUCUGUAUUUAAAUCACUGCGGUGAAUGCAGCUUUACUUUCCUGUGGAUAAAAUGAGUACUAGAAAUGUUAUCAGAGAUAAAUUUUGGUAUACCUAUUGACUGCAGUUAUCAAAAGUGGAGCCUUCAUGUUUCCUUUGAGUAGAAGAAAGAAAUAAAAAAAUAGUAGUUAUUUAAAUGAUCUUUAUUAAAUGCAAAAAAAAAAAUAUAUUAAUUGCUUUUUGUAGAAAUGUGCUUGCAAAGCUUAAAUAAUUUAAAUUGUACUUUAGUAUUAAUUGCUUUGUUUUAACAAUAUAAUCAUGUAGUGAUGAAUUUAAUCACUUAAUAUGUUUGUCCCAAAGACAAGAGAUUGUUGUGUAAGGCUCACAAAUGUUACUUUUAUUUUUUACUUAAAUUUCUAUUGUUUUGUUAUAUAGUGUCAUUACUGACUUCUCUUUCUUACUAGAAACUCAACUUCUUUUAAUACAUUCCAGUUCUUCAUAAUUUUGUACAUAAAAAAGUAUUUGUUCAAAUACCAACAGAUGAACAUAUACCACUACUGUCCCAGCUAUCAUGUUCAAAUACUGUAAUCCUUAAUGGAUUCUAGUCAUUACCAUCAACUAUUCUGGCUUGAAGAGAUUACCUCUGAAUAUAUUUUUUAAUGAUUUACAUUAGAUUUUCUAUGCUGGUACAAGAUAAAUUUUCCAACAAUUUUAGUUGUGAAAUAUAUAGCUAACAUUUUUAUAGUUAAAUAUUCUAAAAAAUUAACUAUUCAGCCUUACAACUGAAUUAUGCUUGUGGGUAGGUAGUUUACAAUAUUCUCACAAGAGCUUGAAUUCGUGAAAUUUUCAUAAUAAUCAGGUGCCUGGUUACAUACUCAUGGUAUCGCUUUACUCUGAACUUUUGAAAUUUCCUUUCUUCAAGGGAAAUCUAUCUCAAAUUUUGCAUACAAUUGGUAGUGUGGCAUGCUACUCAAGGCACAUAAUACUCUGACCCUUUCAAUUAUUACCCAACUAUUUUCCCACUUUUAUCCUAAAUAAUGAAGGUAAGUACUAAUCAACAUCGUUUUAAAUAUCUUAAAUCACUUAAUUUCUUUAACACUUACCAUUUUAUUUUAUGGAAGCAAUGUAAUGCCCCAGUAAUUUGGUAAAGAUAAAUUUAUUAACCAUAGUAUUAGUGAAACCUUUAAAAAAUUCUUUUAUAUUUUAAAUGUUAUAUUUCUAACCAUUUAUUUCUUCAUGUGUUGGGGAUAUCCACCUGUUCUGUACUUGAACAAUGUUUGGUAGUCACAUGGCAUAUUAAAACUUUACCCUUUGCUAUUCUCUUCCCAUUAACAAUCUGCUUUCUGUCACUUCCAAUUCUUCUUUCAACAUGAAAAAAAAAAAGAUGCCUUUAAAGUGACAUUUACAAUCCAGGAUGAAUUCUCUUCAAGGAUUUUUCCUAAAAUAUUCAUUGACUCAAAAUUAUUUAAUACUUAUUUCCAUAAACUCUAAGCAUUUACCUCCUUAAAAGUUACAUUUUUCACCCAAGUAUAAUGGACGUCUUUAUAUCAGGGAAAGUAUCUCUUUCAGUUAUCAUUACUUUAGAUUAUUUGUAGAAAUAAAAUUAUUUCAUUUAA
Molecule: unclassified non-coding RNA, 5001 nt
Organism: Octopus bimaculoides (California two-spot octopus)
Lineage: Eukaryota; Metazoa; Mollusca; Cephalopoda; Octopoda; Octopodidae
Source: RefSeq, a predicted model, not a curated record